This is an RNA transcript of Pan troglodytes (chimpanzee), 4702 nucleotides long. It is a transcript of the gene named cap methyltransferase 1, with no coding region annotated. The transcript is spliced from 24 exons. The record is from RefSeq and is a predicted model, not a curated record. Lineage: Eukaryota; Metazoa; Chordata; Mammalia; Primates; Hominidae.
GCUUUUGCAGCCUUUUCCGGGCGGCUUUUCCGCGCAGGCGCCCCUGGACCUCCCAGGUUGAGAGGUGGAGCGGGCCAGAACCUCAGCUGCCUUUCCCGGGGCCGGGACCCGGCCGGGGGAGGACCGAGGCGCGGCGCUGUCCGUGACGUCAUCAGGCUGCGCUGCCCGCAGUACUGGACCCGAGCGCGACGGUGCGGCUGGCGGACCUGGGCUGGCUUGUGGGGAAACGAAACUGAGGGAGGAGGCGGCGGCUCUGGCAGCGGCGGCGACAGUGUCGGCCUGACCCCCCCUCCGCUCCCCGGCAGCUCGCUCUCUCCCCUCAGCUUAACGAUGAAGAGGAGAACUGACCCAGAAUGCACUGCCCCCAUCAAGAAACAGAAAAAAAGAGUUGCAGAGCUUGCCCUGAGCCUCAGCUCCACGUCCGAUGAUGAACCUCCCUCCUCUGUCAGUCAUGGAGCAAAAGCAUCUACUACAAGCCUUAGUGGGUCUGAUAGUGAGACUGAGGGGAAACAACACAGCUCUGACUCUUUUGACGAUGCAUUCAAAGCAGACUCUCUUGUGGAAGGAACUUCUUCUCGCUAUUCCAUGUAUAAUAGCGUCUCCCAGAAGCUUAUGGCCAAGAUGGGCUUCAGGGAAGGUGAAGGAUUGGGUAAAUACAGCCAGGGUCGGAAGGACAUCGUUGAGGCUUCCAGUCAGAAAGGUCGAAGAGGCUUGGGUCUGACACUCCGGGGCUUUGACCAGGAGCUGAACGUGGACUGGCGAGAUGAGCCAGAGCCCAGUGCUUGUGAGCAGGUGUCAUGGUUUCCAGAAUGUACCACUGAAAUUCCUGACACUCAGGAAAUGAGCGAUUGGAUGGUGGUGGGAAAGAGAAAGAUGAUUAUUGAAGAUGAAACAGAGUUUUGUGGGGAAGAGCUGCUUCACAGUGUGUUGCAGUGUAAGAGCGUGUUUGAUGUCUUGGAUGGGGAAGAGAUGCGGCGAGCUCGGACUCGGGCCAAUCCCUAUGAGAUGAUCCGAGGAGUCUUCUUUCUAAACAGGGCAGCAAUGAAGAUGGCUAACAUGGAUUUUGUAUUUGAUCGCAUGUUCACAAAUCCGCGGGACUCUUAUGGGAAGCCACUGGUGAAGGACCGGGAAGCUGAGCUUCUGUACUUUGCUGAUGUCUGCGCAGGCCCAGGUGGCUUCUCAGAGUAUGUGCUGUGGAGGAAGAAGUGGCAUGCAAAGGGCUUUGGAAUGACUUUGAAGGGCCCUAAUGACUUCAAGCUGGAGGACUUCUACUCUGCUUCCAGUGAACUCUUCGAACCCUACUAUGGUGAGGGUGGGAUUGAUGGAGAUGGAGAUAUCACCCGCCCAGAGAACAUCUCUGCUUUUCGGAAUUUUGUCCUGGAUAACACAGAUCGCAAGGGUGUCCAUUUUCUGAUGGCUGAUGGGGGUUUCUCGGUGGAGGGGCAGGAGAACCUGCAGGAGAUCCUCAGCAAGCAGCUGCUUCUGUGUCAGUUCCUCAUGGCGCUGUCCAUUGUCCGGACAGGAGGCCACUUCAUCUGUAAAACCUUUGACCUGUUCACACCGUUUAGUGUGGGGCUUGUCUACCUGCUGUACUGCUGCUUUGAACGAGUUUGUCUCUUCAAGCCUAUUACCAGCCGUCCUGCCAACUCAGAGAGGUAUGUGGUGUGCAAGGGCCUGAAGGUGGGCAUAGAUGAUGUUCGGGAUUACCUCUUCGCAGUGAAUAUUAAACUCAAUCAGCUGCGGAACACGGAUUCCGACGUCAACUUGGUGGUCCCCCUGGAGGUGAUCAAGGGAGACCAUGAAUUUACUGACUACAUGAUACGGUCCAAUGAGAGCCACUGUAGUCUGCAGAUCAAAGCUCUGGCGAAAAUCCAUGCCUUUGUUCAAGACACGACACUGAGUGAGCCUCGACAGGCAGAGAUACGGAAGGAGUGCCUCCGACUCUGGGGGAUCCCAGACCAGGCUCGUGUGGCUCCUUCUUCCUCCGACCCUAAAUCGAAGUUCUUUGAGCUAAUCCAGGGCACUGAGAUUGACAUCUUCAGCUACAAGCCCACACUGCUCACCUCUAAAACCCUGGAGAAGAUCCGCCCUGUGUUUGACUACCGCUGCAUGGUAUCUGGCAGUGAGCAGAAGUUCCUCAUCGGCCUGGGGAAAUCCCAGAUCUACACGUGGGAUGGCCGCCAGUCAGACCGCUGGAUCAAGCUAGACCUGAAGACAGAGCUGCCCCGGGACACUCUGCUAUCUGUGGAAAUUGUGCAUGAGCUGAAAGGGGAGGGGAAGGCCCAGAGGAAGAUCAGUGCCAUCCACAUCCUCGAUGUCCUUGUGCUGAAUGGCACCGACGUUCGGGAGCAGCACUUUAACCAGCGGUCUGACCUGGGCCCCAGGGUAGGGAGGGUGGGGGUAGGCCAGGGCAGCUUGGGAGGACAGCGGCCUCCCGAGGUGUGGCCCCUCAUCUAGGCCUUCUCUGCUUGUUGACAUCCUGAGAGUUUCCCCCUCCCACCCACUGACUGGUCCCAAAGUCAGGGUGAGAAUUGGAGUUGCCACUUCAGAGUUUGCUAGGGCUUGGGCCCUGGUUAUCAGAGAUACUAGCACACUCCAUUUUGCCACAGCUGCUCAGGUUGAGGUAUUUAUGUUAAGGUUGAGCAAGAGGGUGACCUUGCGGGUAGAGGGGGUACUCCUUGGAAGAAAUAUCCUGUGCUUGAGUGGUCCCAUUUAAGUUGCUCAUCUGAGUGGGUGCACUGUAGUGUCCAUGCUUUGGGGUGACAGGGCAGACACAUACAAUAAAGAUGAUACUUGAAGUUCUAGUGGAAGUGACUGAGCACAGCUGAAGGCACACUUCAGGAAAACCAACCAACAUAGUGAAAUUAGAGAAUUCAGCUUGCCGAGAAAUUUGUGAAAGCUGUUUCCAAGCCCAGUCGGCCCGACAUGAAUCCCAUCAGGGUGAAGGAGGUGUACAGACUGGAAGAGAUGGAGAAGAUUUUUGUCAGGUUGGAGAUGAAGAUCAUCAAGGGCUCCAGUGGCACCCCAAAGCUCAGCUACACAGGGCGUGAUGACCGGCACUUUGUACCCAUGGGCCUCUACAUCGUCAGGACAGUGAAUGAGCCCUGGACUAUGGGAUUCAGCAAAAGCUUCAAGAAGAAGUUCUUCUACAACAAGAAAACCAAGGACUCUACUUUUGACCUCCCUGCAGACUCCAUUGCCCCAUUUCACAUUUGCUACUAUGGCCGGCUCUUCUGGGAGUGGGGGGAUGGCAUUCGUGUGCAUGACUCCCAGAAGCCCCAGGACCAGGACAAGCUGUCCAAGGAGGACGUCCUCUCCUUCAUCCAGAUGCACAGGGCCUAAGAGCCUCAGAGUGUGCCACCCCUGCAGAAUGCCCUGUCAUUCCUGAGAUGGGGCCACCUGGGGCCCACAGCGCUGGCUUCUUCCCCCUCUUGAAAAGGGACUGGGGAGCAUUGCACCUGGCAUGAGGAGUGGGUGGCCUCCUCUCCAUCCCCUGAAGAGCUCAGGCAGGGCCCUGCAGAGAACACUCAUGUUCCUUCUGGGACACCUGCCUGGGAACUUUCCCCUGCCAGGACUCAGCCUGAAGGAAGCUGCUCCUGAGGCAGGUAUGAGGUCAGUGCCUAGGGCACGUGGGACUGAUGGAGGACAUAUCAGAGUGGCAGAGCUGUGGGCUCUGCUGUUCUCUCCUGCAUCCUGUAGACUCACUUUUCUGAGUUCCAUGCACUGCCCUGAGGGUAGCCAUGCCCUUGCUUUGCCCAACUUUUUAUUGGGCCAUCCCUGAGUGGGUGGAGACCUGCUGUCAUGAGCUGGCCAGGAGAACCUGCUAUAAAAAAAUCAAGGUUUUGUUUCUUUGAACUUACUCUGUUUUGAUGCCAAGUUGGAGACCAUUUUCUUGUCUCCUUCCCCCACUCAUCCUGGCCUUCCCUGGAGUUCUUCCUAGCUCAGAGCUCUGACAGUCCAGCAGGGUGGGAAGGAGGGAGUGUGGGCCUCUCAUCCCUGAUACCACAUUGAGAUCCUGGGAGCCCUCUUUUCGUACUGAGUAUGGAGUUGUAGAGCCAUCCUAGGUGCCAUCCCCUUUUGGUCCAAACAUUGGGCAGCGCUAGAUGGCAGGAAGCAGCCUUGAAGACCCGUCUUUCCCCCACAGCAGCAGGGGCCCCAGCAGUAACAAAGGGUACCUCCAGGGGUUUGGGUAGCGCUGCCCUCUGGCAGUCAUGCAUCACUGUCUGCCAUAGCCGCUCUAGGGUCUUGGCAGAAUUCUGAGCUGGAAGUGCAGCUCCCUAACUACCCUUUCCCUUCCUUUUUCUUCCCUAAUAGGAGGUACAAUCUGCUUUUGUUUGUCGUUACGUGGUCACUCCCAUUUCCUUUAUCUUGGCCGAGAACACAGAGAGGAGGGGGAGCUGGGCAGUAGCUUGGGGUGGGGGUGGGCACCUGUGGUUGUUUUUAAUGGGAAAUACCUCUCAGAGAUGUUCAUGCAGGCUCCCUACGGCCCCAUCCCAGUGCCAGGCUGGUUUCCAUGGAGAUAGGGCACUGAGGCUCCCGUGAGGUUGGAAUCGACUUCACCAUGGGGGUCCUUCAGCCAGCAUCCAGCUCCCCACCCCCAGGCUGGCAGCAGCACUGCUGAGAUGCUGUAUUUCCACCCAAUUCUGGGUAUAUCAGUGUGUCUUGCAGAAUCUUGGAUCAUUAAAGAUAAACAUAUUUUUAA